This is a long non-coding RNA of Hibiscus syriacus, 192 nucleotides long. RefSeq lists it as uncharacterized. The record is from RefSeq and is a predicted model, not a curated record. The transcript has 2 exons. NCBI's taxonomy places the organism in Eukaryota, Viridiplantae, Streptophyta, Magnoliopsida, Malvales, Malvaceae.
UCUGGAACUAGUUUACGUGCAUGUCCAUAGAGACAACAAGCCUGCUCAUGAACUGUACGAAAAGAUCGAUUUCGAGGUACUUGAAAUGGCAAACUCUCAAUUGUUAAAGCAGCAGAUGUACUAGCUUUGUUUUAAGACAUAAAAUUCCUGUUGAAAAAGAAAUCCAAGAUUUCUUUUCUUCUCUUUUUGAAU